GACGGAGGGAGCAAGCAUUGCUCGGAAUAAUUGGGCGUAAAGGGUGCGUAGGCGGUUUUUUAAGUGGAUUGUUAAAGACCUGGACUUAAUCUAGGGAAUGCAAUUCAUACUGAAAAACUCGAGUGUGGGAGAGGAAACAGGAAUUCCUCAUGUAGAGGUGAAAUUCGUAGAUAUGAGGAGGAACACCAGAGGCGAAGGCGAGUUUCUGGAACACAACUGACGCUGAGGCACGAAAGCGUGGGGAGCAAACAGGAUUAGAUACCCUGGUAGUCCACGCCCUAAACGAUGAUUGCUAAACGUCGGAAAUGAAUAAUUUUCGGUGUUGAAGCUAACGCGUUAAGCAAUCCGCCUGGGGAGUACGGUCGCAAGACUAAAACUCAAAGGAAUUGACGGGGACCCGCACAAGCGGUGGAGCAUGUGGUUUAAUUCGAUAAUCCGCGAAAAACCUUACCAGCUCUUGACAUGGGAGUCGCGGACUUGAGAGAUCAAGUCCUUCAGGUUAAGCUGGACUCCGCACAGGUGGUGCAUGGCUGUCGUCAGCUCGUGUCGUGAGAUGUUGGGUUAAGUCCUUUAACGGGCGCAACCCCUAUCUUUAGUUGCUAACGGGUAAAGCCGAGAACUUUGAAGAAACUGCCAGUGAUAAACUGGAGGAAGGUGGGGAUGAUGUCAAGUCAUCAUGCCCCUUAUGAGCUGGGCUACACACGUGCUACAAUGGCGGCUACAAUAGGUUGCAAUGGGGCGACCCUGAGCCAAUCCUUUAAAAGCCGUCUCAGUUCGGAUUGUUCUCUGCAACUCGAGAACAUGAAGUUGGAAUCGCUAGUAAUCGCAGAUCAGCACGCUGCGGUGAAUACGUUCACGGGUCU
RNAcentral lists this ribosomal RNA (863 nucleotides) under uncultured bacterium. RNAcentral describes it as "bacterial SSU rRNA". It matches the Rfam family "Bacterial small subunit ribosomal RNA", at positions 524 to 1381 of the family's 1533-position model. The record is from RNAcentral.